Molecule: ribosomal RNA, 440 nt
Filed under: uncultured bacterium
Lineage: Bacteria
Description: partial 16S ribosomal RNA
Rfam family: Bacterial small subunit ribosomal RNA
Source: RNAcentral
CCUACGGGAGGCAGCAGUGGGGAAUAUUGCACAAUGGCGGGAACCCUGAUGCAGCGACGCCGCGUGAGUGAAGAAGUAUUUCUGUAUGUUAAGCUCUAUCAGCAGGGAAGAAAAUGUCUGUACCUGACGAUGUAUCCCCGUCUAACUACGUGCCAGCAGCCGUGGUAAUACGGAGGGAGCAAGCGUUAUCCGGAUUUACUGGGUGUAAUGGGAGCGUAGACGGCAGAGCAAGUCUGAAGUGAAAGCCCGCGGCCCAACUGCGGGACUGCUUUGGAAACUGGCCGGCUAGAGUGCUGGCGAGGUAAGCGGAAUUCGUGGUGUAGCGGUGAAAUGCGUAGAUAUUAGGAGGAACACCAGUGGCGAAGGCGGCUUACUGGACAGUAACUGACGUUGAGGCUCGAAAGCGUGGGGAGCAAACAGGAUUAGAUACCCUUGUAGUC